Molecule: ribosomal RNA, 247 nt
Filed under: uncultured bacterium
Lineage: Bacteria
Description: partial 16S ribosomal RNA
Rfam family: Bacterial small subunit ribosomal RNA
Source: RNAcentral
AAGUCGAGCGCACUCUUAUGAGUGAGCGGCAGACGGGUGAGUAACGCGUGGGAAUCUACCCUUUUCUACGGAAUAACACAGAGAAAUUUGUGCUAAUACCGUAUACGUCCUACUGGAGAAAGAUUUAUCGGAGAAGGAUGAGCCCGCGUUGGAUUAGCUAGUUGGUGAGGUAAAGGCUCACCAAGGCGACGAUCCAUAGCUGGUCUGAGAGGAUGAUCAGCCACACUGGGACUGAGACACGGCCCAG